AAAGGCGGCUCGAUCCGCUGAUAUGGGAUCCGUGCAUGAGAGUGUGCGGCGCACCAUAGCCCCGUCCCGAAGGCUUGCCUUGGGGCGGAGGUUGAGCGCAUAUGCUGGGACCCGAAAGAUGGUGAACUAUGCCUGAGCAGGAUGAAGCCAGAGGAAACUCUGGUGGAAGUCCGAAGCGGUUCUGACGUGCAAAUCGAUCGUCUGACUUGGGUAUAGGGGCGAAAGACUAAUCGAACCAUCUAGUAGCUGGUUCCUUCCGAAGUUUCCCCCAGGAUAGCUGGAGCUCGUAAAUGCAGUUAUAUUCGGUAAAGCGAAUGAUUAGAGGAAUUGGGGACGAAACGACCUCAACCUAUUCUCAAACUUUCAAUGGGUAUGAAGUCGCGGUUGCUUA
Molecule: ribosomal RNA, 391 nt
Filed under: Poikilolaimus oxycercus
Lineage: Eukaryota; Metazoa; Nematoda; Chromadorea; Rhabditida; Rhabditidae
Description: eukaryotic LSU rRNA
Rfam family: Eukaryotic large subunit ribosomal RNA
Source: RNAcentral